UUUUUAAAAAAUGGGGUGCCUGGGUGGCUCAGAUGGGUUCCUGGAUGCAAGCACAGAACCUGAUUCUCACUUAUGCAGAAAAGGAGGGGACUGAAGACCAUCAGAUAAGAGCACAUAACCUGAGUCUCCUCCACAUAAUCUGAAAUUGAGGGAUUCUAUCAAGAGAAAGCUUCAUGGGCGUGAGAGUAACACAGAUCAUGCCUGAAAUCACUUCACAUCCAGUUCGAACACUUCAAAAGUGGAAAGAAAAUACUUAAAAAUUCAAAAUAUUUUUUAAAAGGCUGAGGCAGAGGGGA
Long non-coding RNA from Lontra canadensis (Northern American river otter), 296 nucleotides. RefSeq lists it as uncharacterized. The record is from RefSeq and is a predicted model, not a curated record. The transcript is spliced from 3 exons. NCBI's taxonomy places the organism in Eukaryota, Metazoa, Chordata, Mammalia, Carnivora, Mustelidae.